RNAcentral lists this ribosomal RNA (161 nucleotides) under uncultured bacterium. RNAcentral's name for it is "partial 16S ribosomal RNA". The record is from RNAcentral.
GCACGUAGUUAGCCGGUGCUUAUUCUUCAGGUACCGUCAUUAGCAAGAGAUAUUAGCUCUCACCGUUUCUUCCCUGACAAAAGAGCUUUACAACCCGAAGGCCUUCUUCACUCACGCGGCAUUGCUGGAUCAGGCUUUCGCCCAUUGUCCAAAAUUCCCCA